Molecule: long non-coding RNA, 2800 nt
Organism: Cloeon dipterum
Lineage: Eukaryota; Metazoa; Arthropoda; Insecta; Ephemeroptera; Baetidae
Exons: 3
Source: RefSeq, a predicted model, not a curated record
UGGUGGAGGCUGAGGGUGGCGGCGGAGGCGGGUGCGCGUGACGCGCGUGACCCCAUGUGCCUGCAAAGCCAAAUCCGUCAGUAUGUGAACAAUAAUGACAAGGGCGUACGACAAGAAACCUCAAAAAAUAAUGGCCAAAAGUAUUGACUACACGUGAAGCAUUUUCUAGUCAGAUAAGUAUUUUUUGGCAUUGCCAUGUAUGCCCUUCAUAAAUUAUAAUGCCCCUCUAUUUCUAAAUGUGCAGCACGCACUUACUUACGAAAUUUAAUUUACGUUUUGUCAUUGGAAAGUUCCUCACAUUUUAGAACACAAUUGAGAAUAAAAUAAACGGCAGAUGCCAUCUAUGGAAGAAUAUUUAUUAUAUAAUUUAUUGAAUGAUAUGCACAGCAUCACUAAUUAAAAACCACAAAGUUUUAGUUUAAAACAUCUGAUCAAAGUCUCUUUCCUUGUUCAACAGUCAGAAUUGGGCUACUUUUAAAUUAAUUUAGAAAACAUAAAGUAAAUCGGAUGGGCUUUCAAAUUUCAAUUGAAAUGGGAAUAAUUUUUUUCAUUUCUUGAUUUUAAAAUUCACUUGUAAAAUUCGAAACUGCCUUUCUUCCUCCAAUUUAAAUCAUAUUAAUAAAAAUUUGUAUUACCAGCACGAGGUCUGAGGGGAGGGAGACUGUCAUGGUGCGACAUUGUAGUCCCAUCGACGUCCUCCGUCACUAUCACCGGCAGAGGCUGAGAGCCCAGCUCCUGAAAGAACAUAAUUUGAUUAACGAGUGGUAAAAAUGAACGUUUUGAAAGGGACGCCAACCCCUUUGAUGCUUUUAUGAGUCGCGCACGAGAUGGGAGCGAUUAGUCACGCGUCACCUCGCUAAAACGCGAAAAACAAUCGGAAUGGAACGGGCGGCGUUUGUUUGUUCGUUAUUUUCAAGAGGAAUCUGCAAAUAGCCUUGUUUUUCAGUUCAGAUUCCACGGCGGUGACUAGUGCGGCCCCCGCGGGGCCACGGGCGCCCCGACCAAUGUACUGACCCAUAGGAUAGAGUGGACGUCGGGGCUGCGAGCGGCGCAAGUCUUGGAGCACCACAUUAUGCACUGAUAGAGCGCGGAUCGGGCGACUCGCAGUAAGAUCCAAGCUUGGGUCGCCGCCAAAUUAACAUGUGAUGCUCGCAGCGAGAGGGUGAUUUAAAUUUAACGUGGUGUGUAUUCUCUGUUCUCGUCGUGCAGCAAGAGGCUCGCGAAAACAAGACACAGUUUCUUCUUCAGAUUAUUCGUGGAAGUGGUCAAGUGGGGAGGGAAUGGCAAAAAUCCCGCAUUCUGUCAGAAAAUUUCCAUCGCAAUGACGCACCCAGCUGCCGUUAUUUGUUUGAAAACUAACUUAUCGAGCUGAAUGCCAAUAUUUCACACGCAUUUUGUAAAUUUCAGGUGGCACUGCCGGAAAAAUUCCAGGAGAUACCAUGCACAAAGUUUAUGCGGGAAAGGAAGUGCACAGGGAAGAUUUCCGGUCAUGCGUGUCAAAUUAAUACAAUACGAUAUUAAAAAAUACGACAACUUGAUAGCUGCUGCCUGGGCUGCAGACAAAUUCUUAUCGCGUUCGGCAAAACAACCAGCAAAGUUUUGUAUAGUGAUGAUGAAGUUCAAAACCAGAAAGGAAAGCGCGUGAAAAAAAGUUUUAGAGAACAUCUUCUCGCAAGGAAAGUUUGGAAAGCUCACUUGGAAAUAUUAAUUAAAAGUUGAGGGCUGCACGCAGUGUGUAACCCGAAAUCGCUGCUCACGUCAUGACGACAAAGGCGUGUGCCUGCCUCAUUUUUUUUACGGUGCUCUUGAACGAAAAUAAAGGCUCUGCGCUAUUUUCUCUCAACUUACUGGUAUUUCAAUAGGCACAUGUGUAUUUAUUGAUUCCAGGUUUGACAUUUCUCGGGCCGAAAGCGUGUUGUAGGGUUUCGUGCUAGGAAGAAAGUGGCGUGUGGCGAACAGGAAAGAAUGACUUUUCGGCGUUUACCGCGGCGACGGAAGUCGCAAAAAUUUACAUACCAGCAGCGACUAAGCGCGAAAUCAGCCAUUUUAUAAAUAAUAUUUUUUUUUCAGCAGCGAGUGUGGUCGGCUGGUGUAAUUGGGACAGGUAAAUCCGAUUACAGCAGAGACAGCAGAGCAAUAAAUCCACAGCUGAUUAUCAUUUAAAAGUGUUUAGUGAUGAAACUGACGAUCGAUUUUUCUCGGAAUUCACGCCAUAAUUGUUUUAGGACCUUCCUUACACACCGAUAUUCAAAAUUCUGCCACACGCUACUUUAGAGACGUCAGGCAUUUGAGAAUACAAUACGAGUUUCGAAAGGUUGGGAAUGGAUUUUGGACCAAUAAAGAGCUUAUUCAAGAGAUAAGUUAUUAGAAAAAGGAUUAUUUAUAUUAAGAAUAAAAGGAGCGUUAUCUCCAUGUUCUAGUUAAUUAAACGGACGGAGACAUUCAUUAAUUACUUUGGCGAGACGAAAAGCUUUAUUUUUAAUUUUAGUUCCAGAAAUGUCGAAAGAUAAUAAAUGUUGAUAAAUAAUACAUACACAAAUUACUAAAUGAAAAUAAAUAAUAUUUAUUAGCAAUAUCAACCAAAUUUUUAAAGCUUUUCACUUCUCAUAUUACAUAAUAUAUUGAAUCUCAUGCUUUUAAAGGGAAAAUAUAAUCAACCAGUUUUUGUAUAGAAUACACAUAUAAGCUGGUGAGAAAGCAAGGCGUCCAAUUGAAAUGUUUCACUCGCGAUCGUGUUAGUAAUAAAAUUUCAUCGCAAUUAUUACUCACCGCACGGCAGACGGCUCAUUAUUAAAUUACU